This 253-nucleotide ribosomal RNA is filed under the name uncultured bacterium. RNAcentral's name for it is "partial 16S ribosomal RNA". It matches the Rfam family "Bacterial small subunit ribosomal RNA", at positions 524 to 776 of the family's 1533-position model. The record is from RNAcentral.
UACGUAGGGCGCAAGCGUUGUCCGGAAUUAUUGGGCGUAAAGAGCUCGUAGGCGGCCAGUUGCGUCUGCUGUGAAAUCCCGGGGCUCAACCUCCAGCCUGCAGUGGGUACGGGCAGACUAGAGUGCGGUAGGGGAGAUUGGAAUUCCUGGUGUAGCGGUGAAAUGCGCAGAUAUCAGGAGGAACACCGGUGGCGAAGGCGGUUCUCUGGGCCUGUACUGACGCUGAGGAGCGAAAGCGUGGGGAGCGAACAGG